AAUAGUGUAAUGCAUAUAAACUUUUUUGUGAUUAUUAAUAUUUGUAGAAUUUAUUGAUGGAGUAGAAGUUGAAGAUGUAGGAGAAUGUCAAGAUCAAGAAAAUCCAAAAGGAGUAACAGAAAAAAUUUGUAAAUGUAGACUGCUAUCUCAAGAGGAUUUAGAAAGUCCAUUGGGAACAAGUGUCAGCGAGAUUGUAUGCAAAUGCUUAGAAGGAACAUAUGAUCUGUCUACACCUCUGUCAUAGAAAGAAAUUUUUGGAGUUCAAACUUGUGCCGAUCAAGGUUAAAUAAAAUUUGUACUGAUCUGUCUACACCUCUGUCAUAUAAAGAAAAAAUAGAGUUCAAACUUGUGCCAAUCAAG
This 360-nucleotide long non-coding RNA is filed under the name Nicotiana benthamiana. RNAcentral's name for it is "long non-coding RNA (NBEN_LNC015410)". Lineage: Eukaryota; Viridiplantae; Streptophyta; Magnoliopsida; Solanales; Solanaceae. The record is from RNAcentral.